GAUGAACGCUGGCGGCGUGCCUAAUACAUGCAAGUCGAGCGAACGGACGAGAAGCUUGCUUCUUUGAUGUUAGCGGCGGACGGGUGAGUAACACGUGGAUAACCUACCUAUAAGACUGGGAUCACUUCGGGAAACCGGAGCUAAUACCGGAUAAUAUUUUGAACCGCAUGGUUCAAAAGUGAAAGACGGUCUUGCUGUCUCUUCUAGAUGGAUCCGCGCUGCAUUAGCUAGUUGGUAAGGUCACGGCUUACCAAGGCAACGAUGCAUAGCCGACCGCAGAGGGUGAUCGGCCACACUGGAACGUGAACACGGUCCAGACUCCUACGAGAGGCAGCAGUAUGGAAUCUUCCGCAAUAGGCGAAAGCCUUACGGAGCAACGCCGCGUGAGUGAUGAAGAUCUUCGGAUCGUAAAACUCUGUUAUUAGGUAAGAACAUAUGUGUAAGUAACUGUGCACAUCUUGACGGUACCUAAUCAGAAAGCCACGGCUAACUACGUG
Molecule: ribosomal RNA, 497 nt
Filed under: uncultured bacterium
Lineage: Bacteria
Description: partial 16S ribosomal RNA
Rfam family: Bacterial small subunit ribosomal RNA
Source: RNAcentral